This 253-nucleotide ribosomal RNA is filed under the name uncultured bacterium. RNAcentral's name for it is "partial 16S ribosomal RNA". It matches the Rfam family "Bacterial small subunit ribosomal RNA", at positions 524 to 776 of the family's 1533-position model. The record is from RNAcentral.
UACAGAGGUCCCAAGCGUUGUUCGGAUUCACUGGGCGUAAAGGGUGCGUAGGCGGUCGGGCAAGUCUGAUGUGAAAUCUCACAGCUUAACUGUGAAACUGCAUUGGAUACUAUCCGGCUCGAGGAAUGGAGGGGAGACUGGAAUUCCUGGUGUAGCGGUGAAAUGCGCAGAUAUCAGGAGGAACACCGGUGGCGAAGGCGGUUCUCUGGGCAUUUCCUGACGCUGAGGAGCGAAAGUGUGGGGAGCGAACAGG